This 780-nucleotide non-coding RNA is filed under the name Adhemarius dentoni. The record is from RNAcentral. Lineage: Eukaryota; Metazoa; Arthropoda; Insecta; Lepidoptera; Sphingidae.
AAAUAAAUUUUUUAUGGUUUAAAAAAUUUAUUUUAAGUUUAUAUUACAUAUAAAUUUUAGUGUUAAUUAUUAAUUAUUUAAAUAAUAUUUAAUAUUUUAAUAGUAAUUAAUUUUAAAAAUUUAAGAAAUUAAGAUUUAGUAAUAUUAUAAUUAAUAACUAAUUUUGUGCCAGCAGUUGCGGUUAUACAAAAGUUAAUUUGAAUUUUUUUAGUAAAUAAUUAAUAAUUAAUUAAAUAUAAUUUAAAUUUUAAAUUAUAAAGUGAAAUUUUAAUUAAAAAAAAAUUAUUAUUAAUUUAUGAUUUAGUAAAUUUUAUAAUAAACUAGGAUUAGAUACCCUAUUAUUAAAAAUUUAAUUUAAUAAAAUACUUAAAUAGUAAGUAAUUGUUUAUUAAAACUUAAAUAAUUUGGCGGUAUUUUAGUUCAUUUAGAGGAAUCUGUUUAAUAAUUGAUAAUUCACGAAUAAAUUUACUUAAUUUUAUAUUUUGUAUAUCGUUGUUAAAAAAAUAUUUUUUAAUAAUUUUAAUAUUUAAAAAUUUAUAUAUUAAAUUUAAAUCAGAUCAAGAUGCAGAUUAUGGUUAAGAAUAAAUGGAUUACAAUAAAAUAAUUUAAUUGGAUUUAAAUAUGAAAUUAUUUAAUAAAAUUGGAUUUAAAUGUAAUUUUAUAUAAAUUUAUAAAAUGAUUAUAUAUAUUAAAAUAUGUACAUAUUGCCCGUCGCUUUCAUUUAUAAGUUGGAAUAAGUCGUAACAAAGUAGAGGUACUGGAAAGUGUUUCUAGAAAGAU